Oncorhynchus keta (chum salmon) is the source of this 247-nucleotide long non-coding RNA. RefSeq lists it as uncharacterized. The transcript is spliced from 3 exons. The record is from RefSeq and is a predicted model, not a curated record. NCBI's taxonomy places the organism in Eukaryota, Metazoa, Chordata, Actinopteri, Salmoniformes, Salmonidae.
UGUGAGGUUGUAGUCAGUGAACUGUGCUGUGAGGUUGUAGUCAGUGAACUGUGCUGUGAGGUUGUAGUCAGUGAACUGUGCUGUGAGGUUGUAGUCAGUGAACUGUACUGUGAGGUUGUAGUCAGUGAACUGUGCUGUGAGGUUGUAGUCAGUGAACUGUGCUGUGAGGUUGUAGUCAGUGAACUGUACUGUGAGGUUGUACUCAGUGAACUGUACUGUGAGGUUGUAGUCAGUGAACUGUGCUGUG